GGGGUCUUGGCACAGAUGGUAGCGCGCAUGCUUCGCAAUAAGUAACCAUGUACACGAUUGCAUGAGGUCGUGAGUUCGACUCUCACAGGCUCCA
Termitomyces sp. T159_Od127 is the source of this 94-nucleotide non-coding RNA. NCBI's taxonomy places the organism in Eukaryota, Fungi, Basidiomycota, Agaricomycetes, Agaricales, Lyophyllaceae. The record is from the annotation of a GenBank genome assembly.